GAUGAACGCUGGCGGCGUGCUUAACACAUGCAAGUCGAACGAAGCACCUUGACUGAGACCUUGGUGGAUUUUGAGGUGACUGAGUGGCGGACGGGUGAGUAACGCGUGGGUAACCUGCCUCAUACAGGGGGAUAACAGUUAGAAAUGGCUGCUAAUACCGCAUAAGCGCACGGUACUGCAUGGUACAGUGUGAAAAAACUCCGGUGGUAUGAGAUGGACCCGCGUUGAUAGCUA
This 234-nucleotide ribosomal RNA is filed under the name uncultured bacterium. RNAcentral's name for it is "partial 16S ribosomal RNA". It matches the Rfam family "Bacterial small subunit ribosomal RNA", at positions 28 to 247 of the family's 1533-position model. The record is from RNAcentral.